This is a long non-coding RNA of Amblyraja radiata (thorny skate), 138 nucleotides long. RefSeq lists it as uncharacterized. Lineage: Eukaryota; Metazoa; Chordata; Chondrichthyes; Rajiformes; Rajidae. The record is from RefSeq and is a predicted model, not a curated record. The transcript has 3 exons.
UAUAUUCUCUGUUGAACCACGGAUUACAACUGUGGAAAUUAGACCAUCUUCUUUCUCAUGCUUAAAUAUUAUCACUUGUGUGUCUCCAACCUCUGACAAGUAAACACUAUUGCAGUAUCCCAAUUCUUCUGGAAUGGG